Long non-coding RNA from Python bivittatus (Burmese python), 1810 nucleotides. RefSeq lists it as uncharacterized. Lineage: Eukaryota; Metazoa; Chordata; Lepidosauria; Squamata; Pythonidae. The record is from RefSeq and is a predicted model, not a curated record.
UCAAGUACUUUGCUUUGUCUUGGCUAAUGUCCCAGGUAGACGAGAAGGUACACUGAACGCACUCCUAGUCGGCUCACGCACCAAAAUGCAAGAUGGAGUAGGAAGUUUUGUACUCAAAACUGCUGUCGCGAUUCUGGUGUUCGCAGGGAGCUGUGACCGUCUCGUGCGGCAAAAGGAGAGACAACAUUUUUGAGUCUGCUGCAUCUUUCUUGGCUCCCUUCAGAAUGGAUAUACUGCAAGGGUUAAGCUGGGUAUAGAGAUUGAAUUGGUUUAUGUAGUUGAAUCGCAAUGUGCAAUAUCUGCUGGGAGAUAUCAUUUAUAAAAAUACGAAAUCAGAUGAGAGUUGAAGGAAGGACACAGUCAAUGUGGAGUGGCUCUAAGAAGAAAGGAUGAGCUCACCUUCAAAAAGCCUCUUAUUUCUGCCACUGGGUCCUGGGAUCUUGCCACAGUACCAAAUAGGCGAGAGUGGAUUUCAGAACUGCCCUGCCUUGCCAGACCAACACAGUUGACCACUAAGGAUUUCAUCCCCUGAAAUGCUACCAUGUUAUCCCUGUUAGGAAACAUCCCCAGAAGUGGAGCCUUAGGCUAGAUACUGGAAAGUUAUUGUCACUUUCUUUUGUUAGUCACAUAUAAGAAAAAGGAGGGAGGGGUUACAGGGAUUGGAAACAGAAGGCUGAUUAAUUUUGCUUCCUGCAUCACCUUGGUUGGAAGUGCUGCAGCUUGAUGCCAGGGUGCCUUUAUGGAUCAUCACAAGGCCCAGCAGCUGAUCCACUUGUGCUGUAAGCAAGGAAGGAUUGCUUGCAGACAGUCCCUAAUCCCACUCUUUUUCUUUUUCCCAGUUCCCAGAAAAUAUGCCUCUGAAGGUCAGAGCAAACUCCCUAAAAUAUCCCCGACACCCUCUCCUCACUAAUCUCUUGGUUCCUAAUCUCUUGGCUCUGCCCAGUUCUGUGACAACAUCAUGUUGCUGUCCUACGCAACGCAGCUCUUGGCUGCCAAAAUGUUUUUUAGUAAUGUGGGCUCCCAGGAAUCUGUGAAAAGAUUCCCUGCUCGGGCUAAAUAAUGCAUCAGGCCUCCUGCUUUCCCUUCUUUCUCAGUAACUUGUCUAGGGCUGAGGAGAUACCAUCCAAAUGUUCUUAAAAUGCAAUUCAGUAUUUCUGACCAAUAGCCAUGUGCCUGGAGCUUUUUACAGUUGGAGCCCAAAAUACUUCGAGUGCACAAAUUGUGUCUUUUUGUGCUAGAUUGAGUUCCUGGUCUUCAUGCUUCUUCACAGUCUGCUUCUGGAACCUGACCCUUUGCUCCCUUAAAUUGUGCUGCUUGUGACAUUUGCAUUAUUGGCUCUUGUUCCUGGAAACUGCUUCUUUUCUUGCUGUAGAAUAUUACAGUUGGUUAACUGUUUCCUCCUCUAGUUUCAUUUAUGAUGUCAGCCUCCUGUCAAGCCCAGCACAGUGAUUGGGUUUACACAUUGUGCUAAACCAUGGUUUGUUUUAAGCCCUGAUUUGUAAAUUACUUCCAUACUGUUCCUAAGUAAACUGCAUGGACAUUUCCAUCAGGAGUCAAGGUUGUCUUUACUUUGUUGAAUCAGUCACAGGUUCAGAUGUCAUGCUAAGGAAUAAAUCAUGGUUUACAAAGUCUACAUGACACACUAAGCCAGCAUCAAAUACAUUUAUGUCUUAAUGCAAUAUAUAAACCCAGUCAUUGUAAAGAAAUUAUAAUACAGUAGAAAUAACUGUCUCAGAAGGUGGCAGCAGCUGGCCAACCUUAUCUGACCUUGGUUAGUACGUGGAUGGGAGACCACCGGGUAGUCCCAGGG